GGGCAGGCAGAAGGUGGCCGCCCCGUCUAAUACGCGGGGAGGAAAGUCCGAGCUCCAUAGGGUAGCGUAAUGGGUAACGCCCAUCUCCUUGCUGCGAAGCAGCAAGGAAGGAUCAGCCGCAAGGCGCUCCCGCAAGCUUUGUGCGGGACAGAGCUACAGAGACGAGAAAUAACUUUCGGUUGUGAUUUCCUAGAUCCCCCAGGCGCCAAGCGCCUGUGGGAUCACAUCACAACCGAAGGUUGUGAUGUGAAACGAGCAAUCUCUACGCGGAGUAAGGCCAAAUAAGGGACCAGGGGUGCCCUCCCCGUCUGAAGUCUCGGGUAGGCUGCUUGACCUAGGCAGUAAUGCCUAGGCUUAGAGGAAUGGCCACACUAGAGACGGAUAAUCGCCUCUACACAGAACUCGGCUUAUUCUGUCUGCCCUAUU
This 426-nucleotide RNase P RNA is filed under the name Candidatus Omnitrophota bacterium. RNAcentral's name for it is "Candidatus Omnitrophica bacterium RNase P RNA component class A". It matches the Rfam family "Bacterial RNase P class A". From Rfam's summary of the family: Ribonuclease P (RNase P) is a ubiquitous endoribonuclease, found in archaea, bacteria and eukarya as well as chloroplasts and mitochondria. Its best characterised activity is the generation of mature 5'-ends of tRNAs by cleaving the 5'-leader elements of precursor-tRNAs. Cellular RNase Ps are ribonucleoproteins. Lineage: Bacteria; Pseudomonadati; Candidatus Omnitrophota. The record is from RNAcentral.